CAUCCACAUGAAGCUCUCGAUCUGAUCGGCUCCUCACGAAUGCUAGUUCAUUGCAGAACCCUUUCAACGGCCAAUGCUGAUCGAACUCCUUCGAUCGAUGUCUGUCGAUUCCUCAGAUACUCUAGAUCAUCAACAAACAUGCUUGAGAGGUUGAUGAAGCUCUCCCUAAAGUUUGGUGGGCUCACGACACUCGUAACUCACCUUCUCACUUCCCGAACCCCA
RNAcentral lists this long non-coding RNA (222 nucleotides) under Elaeis guineensis (African oil palm). RNAcentral's name for it is "long non-coding RNA (EGUI_LNC054845)". Lineage: Eukaryota; Viridiplantae; Streptophyta; Magnoliopsida; Arecales; Arecaceae. The record is from RNAcentral.